RNAcentral lists this ribosomal RNA (440 nucleotides) under uncultured bacterium. RNAcentral's name for it is "bacterial SSU rRNA". It matches the Rfam family "Bacterial small subunit ribosomal RNA", at positions 338 to 795 of the family's 1533-position model. The record is from RNAcentral.
CCUACGGGGGGCUGCAGUGGGGAAUAUUGCACAAUGGGCGAAAGCCUGAUGCAGCGAUGCCGCGUGAGCGAUGAAGGCCUUCGGGUCGUAAAGCUCUGUCCUUAAGGAAGAAUAAUGACGGUACUUAAGGAGGAAGCACCGGCUAACUACGUGCCAGCAGCCGCGGUAAUACGUAGGGUGCAAGCGUUGUCCGGAAUCACUGGGCGUAAAGAGUUCGUAGGCGGCCUAUCAAGUCAGGUGUGAAAGGCAUUGGCUUAACCAAUGUAAGCACUUGAAACUGUUGGGCUUGAGUGUUGGAGAGGAGAGUGGAAUUCCUAGUGUAGCGGUGAAAUGCGUAGAUAUUAGGAGGAACACCAGUGGCGAAGGCGACUCUCUGGACAAUUACUGACGCUGAGGAACGAAAGCGUGGGGAGCAAACAGGAUUAGAUACCCUGGUAGUC